This 2865-nucleotide long non-coding RNA is filed under the name Triticum aestivum (bread wheat). Its description in RNAcentral is "long non-coding RNA (TAES_LNC007327)". Lineage: Eukaryota; Viridiplantae; Streptophyta; Magnoliopsida; Poales; Poaceae. The record is from RNAcentral.
UAUCAACCAGUGGAACUCCUCACUUGGGGGAGCUGGGGCAGGCCAGUGGGUACCUCAUGGGAUGUGGGGCAGGCCGUCCCCAUGCUCUCUCUCUGCUGUUUAUGUAGCAAUUCGCCUUGUAGUCUGAAGCAUACGAACUUGUAUCAGCAUCUAUAUGUUUAUGUCCCUAUCAUCUUAUAUUUGGAUAAAAUUAUUACUGAAUAAAAUAGCAUCAAGAAAAAAACAAGAGGAACAUAUGAUCAAAAUGCGGUCUGUUAGUGUGCUAAUAUGCAUCUUUGGUGGUACUUUUGCUAAAAACUGAGUGCCCAAAUGAAAGUAAGUGCAACCAGGAGAAAGUAAAACAACCAUACACUGCCUAAAAACAUAGUACAAACUUCACUGACCCUGCUGAAGACGAAAACAAGAGGCUGGAUGAAGAAGCUGCUCCACAGUACUCAAGGAUCGUGGUGAGAGAUGAAAACUUAGAGCUUCAUGGAGAAAUUGCAUGUCUGAAGGUUGUAGAUAGGGCUAGUCAAUCAGUUCAGGUACAAAAAGGGCCCCAGACUGCAGCAAAAUGAACUGAAAGGAUAUCUUCUGAACCUAUAAAAGCUCCAGUUUCUCUAGCAAGGGGAAAAUUCAGAGUUAUACCUAUUGAGUAGAUUUCCAGGCCCGACAGUAUGCAGUGUGCAUGCGAACUCGACCUCUAAACAGAAUACAAUCCGUGCUGGCGGCUGAUAGCUUUCCGAUUGGAACACACAACACGGCUCCCUGCAAAAAGCAAAAAACACAAUAUGGCUUGGCUGAUUGAUUUUCAUUGACUUGAUUCCCGGGAGGAUUACGUACGCUCAAGAUGAGAAAGGCACACCUCCGUACGCCUGAAUCAAGUGCAUUGGUAUACACUAGGCCGUUGCCACACAUCCUGGAGAUACAAGGCACGUCAACAACGCAUCUAUACGCGGCAACGUUGCAGACACAUAGACGGUCAAUCGCACGCACAAUGUCUGUACCAUAUCAGCACAUCCUGUACAAUAUAACUGCUAUGACAUCAAGUGCAUCGGUACCAUGACGCCACCGUAACACCGUUAUCAACUUUGUAUAAUAUAACUGCAGGUACUACUUCUGUGAUUAAAUUUUUGCAUUCUAACAUGUCUGAACAAGUUCCUUACAACUAAUCUGGUAUCAUAUGCAUUAUUAUAGUAGAGUAAAACACUUAUUUCUAAUCAAAAUUUAUAGAUAAAUCUUCUAUUAUAUACUUAAGACAAAAGGCAAACAAGCCAUCACGUUUAUACACAUAUGCUCAAAGAAUUACCAUUGAUUUUAUUUAGAACGGUCGAGAUUGAAAGAUGAACAAAGAUAUGUACAGCACCUAUUCGGUACAAUAAAUUGUUGACACGUAUAAAGAGAUCUAUCAUGAAAAAAAAAACAGUCUUUGGCACGUGAAAAGAGUUUAUCAUAGGCAGGUAUGCGAUAAUCUAUCAUAGAAGGGAACCCAAGGAACUCUAUGCUUGGCUAGGAAAAAGGCCAAUCCGGUUCAACUUCAGAAAAGAAUAGAAGUCCGGUUGCAAGACUGCUGCUUCUUUGCUGGAAUUUAAGCCGAUGCAAGCCGAUGCAAAAGCUAGAGAAAGUCACGUACAAAUAAAAAGGCAAGGUCCUACUAUGACAUCUACUAUCCAAGCAGACACAAAAAAGAACAGAAAAACAUACGAUGCAAGCCUAUUAAAUCGGAACGUGCACACGGUCAGCCCAACAUGUUGUAGAUUCUUAAAAAGAAAAACAUGUUGUACAGGGACACAAUUGUUUUAUCUUGGAGUUGGUACAUGGGCACAAAUUAAUAACGGCUCGAGAGGCUAUGGUAUUUUUUUUAUGGAGGCUAUAGGCUAGCUCUACGCAUGUUGUAACACAAACAGGAAUUCACGGUGGGCAAAUCAGUGCUGAUGUCACCUGUCAAAUCUUACGUGCAAAUAUCAUAGAUAAUACCAGCAGCCUAAUUGAUCAAAUCUUGCAUGCAAUCAGCGUUUCAGUGGCACUCAAGAAGUGGGCGAUGCAUUUAUUUGCUUAUCCUUACAAACUCCAUAAAAAAUCCAUACGAGUUAGAAAGUGAAUGGCAAAUGAGAUGGUUGCCCUGAAACUAAAUGAAAUGAUAAACUAAAAGACAAUAGCAAGUUUGUUUUUUGUAUGAAAUCAAUAACAAAACUUGCAAUCACUUUAUAUAAAAUUGUUGGUUUGAUUUAUAGAAAAUCAGAAUUAAUAAUGAAACAAUAUCAAAAACUAUUUUGUGCAGUGAUACAAUGCCCCUAAAUCACUAAAUGCAGACUAACCUUUAUAUAUGCACCAUCUUAUUUUCUGAACAAAUACUUCGCAUCUCUGCAGAUAUGGAUAUGAAGAAUCAAAAUUAGUAGGUAAUUUGACAUUCUUCUUUCCUGCAAAAUCUAAAAGAGUCAAGUAAAAAUAUCUAAAAGAGUCCAUAAUUAACUAAAUUUUGGAAAUUGCCGAUCAAGAGUUAAUACAUGAAACCAAUCCUAAAAUUCGAAUAAAAAUAAAAUCACUUUGAAUGUGCUAGGCAUACAUAAAAAUCUUCUAUUAGGUGACGAUGACAUAGUAAAGAGGAAUCAAUGAAUCACUUUGAAUGUGCUAGGCAUGUUUAACGAGUGAAUUGCGUCAAGUCUCAACAUUGCUCAUGGUCAUACCUAAUAAAGAGGAAUCAAUGAAUUAGAUUUGGGGGCUUAUAGGCAAUUGCUCAUGGUAGUAAAGAGGAAUCAAUGAAUUAGAUUUGGAUUCACAGCCAUACCUAAUAAACCAGCAAGUCUCAGCAUUGCUCAUGGUCCUUCAAUUUCUCACUGCCCCUUCUAUUUGGCUCGUCAAUCCUUCACUACCCUGCAGCAAGAC